UAAAGAAAUAAUAAGUAGAUCUUAAAGAAACCUUAAAGAAAUCCAAAAGAAAUCCAUAAAAAAUCUUUAAAAAUAUUAGAAGAACCUUUAAUAAAUCUUAAAUAAAUCCUAAUCAAAUUUUAUUUAAAAUCCUAAUGAAAAUUCUAAUAGACCUUAAUUAAAUCGUAAGUCAAAUCCUAAAUAAAUCUUAAAUUCUAAAUCAAAUCUCUUUAAUAAAUCCUAAGCCUUUAAAUAAAUCUUAAAUCCUAAAUUUAAUCCUUAAAAAAUCUUAAAACUAAAAUAAAUCCUAAAUCUUAAAUCAAAUCCUAAACCAAACCCUAAUCAAAACCUAACCAAUUCAAACUAGUCCUAAAGUAGAUUGGAAUCCCAAUAUCUAUUAGUUAAAUUAUUGAUCUUGCUUAAAAAUUUAUACACCUC
Molecule: long non-coding RNA, 417 nt
Filed under: Physcomitrium patens
Lineage: Eukaryota; Viridiplantae; Streptophyta; Bryopsida; Funariales; Funariaceae
Description: long non-coding RNA (PPAT_LNC007525)
Source: RNAcentral